RNAcentral lists this long non-coding RNA (1885 nucleotides) under Pan troglodytes (chimpanzee). Its description in RNAcentral is "long non-coding RNA NONPTRT013902". Lineage: Eukaryota; Metazoa; Chordata; Mammalia; Primates; Hominidae. The record is from RNAcentral.
GUGCUGUGGGUCUGUCCUGUGUGUUGAAGUCCUGUGUUCUGAAAAUUGCAGGAAGCCCUUCUCGCCUGAGUGUCGGGGAGCAGCCAGACGUCACCCACGACCCCUAUGAGUUUCUUCAGUCUCCAGAGCCUGCGGCCUCUGCCAAGACCUAACUCUAGACCACCUUCAGCUCUUUUAUUUUAUUUUUUUAGUUUUAUUUUUCACGUGUAGAGUUUUUGUCAUCAGACAAGGACUUUGAUCCUGUCCCCUUUGGCAUGCGGGAAGCAGCCCCGGGGAGGUAAUGAAUUGUCUGUGGUAUCAUGUCAGCAGAGUCUCCAAGCCCCACGAACCCUGAGGAGUGGAGUCAUACGCGAAGGCCAUAUGGCCAUCGUGUCAGCAGAGAGAGUCUCUGUACACAGCCCCGUGAACCCUGAGGAGUGGAGUCAUACACGAAGGGCGUGUGGCCGUCGUGUCAGCAGAGAGAGUCUCUGUACACAGCCCCGUGAACCCUGAGGAGUGGAGUCAUACGCGAAGGGUGUGUGGCCAGGCUGCAGAGCUGCGUGCCGUCUGUGUCCGAGCAUCACGUGUGGCUCCAGCCCUUGUUUCUGCCAGUGUAGACACCUCUGUCUGCCCCACUGUCCCGGGGUCGCUCUUGGGAGGCACAGGCAUGGGUGUGUCUGGCCUCAUUCUGUAUCAGUCCUGCGUGUUCCUGUCAUAGUUUGUGUUUCCCAGGCAGGCCAUGGUAGGGGCCUCGCAGGGGCCAUUGGGGAGCACAGGGCCAGGCUGGGGUGAGGAGAGCUCCCCUGUUUUCUGUUUAAUUGAUGAGCCUGGGAAAGGAGUGUGUUCUGCCUGCCCGUUACAGUGGAGCGUUCCGUGUCCAUAAAACGUUUUCUAACUGGGUGUUUACUGAGUGCCCAUUUAUGUUAGUAUUUGCAAAAUACCAUAAACACAGCUUCCAAUCACAAGACACAGAGCGCCAAAGUGCACCCGACUGCUCCCAGCACGCGAGGGUUGCUGUGUCCUACCAGCUGGUGGUGGUCCUCUGGCCCAGCUGUCGUGCCCACAGUGACGUCGGGUGCACCUGUGCGCCCACCAGCACCUCCUGCAGGGUGCCCUGCUCUGUGACCAUGGAAACUUGAAAGUGAAGAAGCCACACCUUCCAGAGGCCAGGCAUGGAUGGGAUCUCAGUCGUCCUGGGGGCAGCGGCAUUUGUGACUCUGAAGAGGCCCCGGGGGCAGUAUGCAGUGCCUGGGCCCUCACACCAUGGGACCACAGGGCUGACCCUCGCAGGCCAUUGACGCUGGGUGAGCAGGGUGGCCGGUGCUCUGUGUGGCAUGGGUGAGCAUUCUCAGGUCCUUCCUGGGCCCUGGUGGAAGUGGGAGCAAAGCCAUUGCCUCUGGACAGAGCAUGAAGAAGCCACAGUAGCUAACUCACAGGAAGAGUUUGUGAACAGGGCUCAGACGAGGGGCAGCGCCUGGGCUGCACCCUCCGUGCUGGCUGGGAAGCAGACUCCCCGCUUGUCUGCACAGCUGCACCUGCCGUCCUGUCCCUGGAUGCCACCAAGUGCACCGUUCCAGUGGCUGCCUGCAGGCUCUGCUCCCCACCCCCAACUCUGGGAGGACGCCCUUGCUGCAGGGAGGCUGGGAAAGGCAGCAUCUGCAGUCCCAAGCUCAGUGGGGCUGUGUACCGCACCCAGCUUCCACUGGGGCUCCAGAGGCCAGGAUUCCCUUAACAGGACAGACACUUCCCACAGCCGGGUCCCCAGGGUACAGCCUUGGAGAGCUUGGGCUCAGGAACAACGUGGCUCCUGACAGCAGGUUGCUGUGGAGUCAGGUGUCCUCCCAGCAUCCGAUCUCUGAACACCUCGCUCCACAUCCACUGUGCCUGACCCCUCCCCGAGCUCACA